This 1049-nucleotide long non-coding RNA is filed under the name Gossypium barbadense (sea-island cotton). RNAcentral's name for it is "long non-coding RNA (GBAR_LNC007115)". Lineage: Eukaryota; Viridiplantae; Streptophyta; Magnoliopsida; Malvales; Malvaceae. The record is from RNAcentral.
CCAUUAAAAAAAACAGAAAGCUAUUCUCAGUUUCUCUCUAUGGGCACAGCCCUAGGAUUCGAUUAGGGUCCAUCGGCCGUCCACCGUUGCUAGCGACGGUAACCACCGUCAGUGGUGAUCAGAGAGAAACCCGAAGCCUAAACUGAGCCCCUUUUUUACGUAGAAUCAGUUUUAAAACCGAAAGAUUUCAAAAACAAACACCAAAACUCUUAAAAAGAAAAAAAAUAUUGACUCUUGGCCUCCUCCGCCGUGACUUCAACCGGAUCCCCUGGGAUCUGACAGUCUUUGGACCAAAAAAGCGAACGCCGAUAAUCCCGAAACCAAACAAUGGGUAAAUAUCCCUUUUUUUACGUAUUUGCUUUCGAAAAAAGAAUUCAAAAUACAAAAAAAAAAACCUGAAUCACCUUUUAAGUUUUUUAUAUUUUGAUUCUUCUCAAUGUCUCUAUUUUUGAUUGCUUUGUAUGCGUAAAAAAAUUACAAUGAUCAUUGUGGCUUUUAUAGCCAUGAAAGAAAAAUACAAAUUUUUGUUUAUUUUUUCGUGGCUAUUGCCUAUUUCCUGCUGUUGUCCUCUAUUUUCAUCUGAUUUGCAGGUACAAGGCUAGCUGUGUCGUACGAAGGAGGCGACAUGGUGUGCAGUGGUGCGUGGAGGCCGUACGGAGGCUGGGUUGCGGUGCACUUAAGGGUUGGGGCUAGGGUUUCUGUUUGGCUAAACCUAGGUUUAGGUUUUGGGCCACUAGGCCUGGUUUAUUUCAUUCGGGUAUUGGGCCAUUGUAAAAGGGUCUGAAUUUCGAGCUUGUUUUUAUCUUUAGUUUGGGUUCUUUUUAAUUUGGGUUAUGUUUUUGUAAUUGGGCCAAUAUUUGGUAAUUGGUUCUUCGUAUUUAUUUGAUUUAGACUUCUUGAUUUGGGCUCGAGAAGAAUAGGCCUGCUACAAUACGUAUUAUAUUAUUAAUAAAAAUAAUAAGAAAAAUACAUACCAUGUGCAAUUUUAUCUAAUUGUUUCGGUGCAUAUUUUUGGAUUAUUUUUUUUAAUAUUUAACAUAUGCUCUUUA